GAACCAAUAUGCAAUGUGUGUGUGUGUGUGUGUGUGUGUGUGUGUGUGUUUGUAUGUGUGUGUGGUGGGGGGAGCUCAGACAGAGCUGUGUGUCUGAUAGUUUAUACAGUCUAGUCCUGUUACACCAGAAUGGCACAGCCACUCUGAGAUCACACAGAGCAAUCACUACAGCUCAGAUAAAGGUGAUCCCCUCAUUCCAUCACUAACUUCUAAUAUAGAACACCCAGUGCUGUGAAUCAAUGGGCUCUGCAAGAACAAGUCUAUCACUCCUCCAGCAAAAGGGAAGCAUAGCACUAUGUAUCUACUUAAAUCUGGACUUCUGAUGUCUCUAAGCCACCUGCCUGCACAGUGAUUGGAGAGGGGAGAUUGCCUGUUGCUGAUCCACAGAGAAGCUGACUAAUUGCACUGUUGUUGCUGUGCACUUUUAAAGGACAUAUUUCACAAUUUAUACAGAUGCACCUGAUUUGGGGGAAACAGGGACUCUGUUGAAGGCAGGGACAGGAUAAAUAAUUUUGUCCAUUCUGCCAGGUGGAUAGAAUACCUGAAGACUCUAGCGCUCUCUUAGCACCAGAGUGGGGCAUCUUACCUGGACCUCCCUUCUUAUCAGGUGUAUGCAGAGAUGUGAAGAAUUUUGGAACCAUCAAGAGACAACAAUGACACACAGACAGGUAGGUUGGUAUCAGAAAUGAGUUCCCCCAUUACAAUAGAUACAAUAUUACAAUGAGAAAAUACAAUGAGAGCAGACACAUAGG
Molecule: long non-coding RNA, 752 nt
Filed under: Pelobates cultripes (western spadefoot toad)
Lineage: Eukaryota; Metazoa; Chordata; Amphibia; Anura; Pelobatidae
Source: RNAcentral